Homo sapiens (human) is the source of this 1591-nucleotide long non-coding RNA. Ensembl annotates it as zinc finger protein 37B, pseudogene. Its record names the gene ZNF37BP. Lineage: Eukaryota; Metazoa; Chordata; Mammalia; Primates; Hominidae. The record is from Ensembl.
GGGCUUUCUGCGCAUGUGCGCGGUGUGGCUCCAGGUGAAGGAUGCCCGGAGGCCUCGGCAGGACCGUGCGGAAACGGGCCUUCUGCCCAAAAGAUGCUGCUUCUCUCCUUAUUCUUUCCCCUCAGAAUCUCGCUGUCUCCUUCCAACCACCUGUGGUCGGCAUCCCCGCGUUGUCACUGCGACGCAGAGGCGAGCGAGGUGGCGGGAAGCACCCGCGGGGCGGGGAGGGACCCUGCGGGCGCGGACUCCACACCAAGCCUCUGCUCAGCGUCACCCCGCUUGCUGUGUCCUCGCAGGUCGCAGCUUCAUGGCCUGAUGCCUUCAGGAAGUAUUUUGAAGUCAUCGUGGCUGUGGAUUGGGGGAUUUCUUGUUUCCACUGACCUGUGAGGCCGCGCACGUGGAGGGAGGCACCCCGGGUCCUCCGGCACUGUCCGGCCUCGCCUGUGUCCCUAGUAGCAGUGGGCAUUUCCAGACGGUGCAGCUUGUGGCUAAAGUGACAGGAAGAUGUAGGAGCUUUCAGUCUUGGAUGAGGAUUCGAACUGAAGGGCUUAGGCCCAGCUGUCUUGGAGCAAAACAUCUGUUGUGGGGUGAGAAGGGAAAGGAGGGGUGAGGGUGCAGGGGCCCUCCUAGGAGGACAUCGGACCUGUUGGGCCGAGACCUCAUUAGAGAUCUAGAGCACGGAUGGGAGGAGCAGAGGCUCGAUUUGUGUCCUGUUCAGACUCCCACAGGCUGGGUGAUGGUGGGAGAUUUGUGCCCAUUCAGAUGUGGCGGCAGAGGAGGGCAAGGCCGAAGGAGCAGACAGCACCGCUUCUUGGGGAGUUGUGAAGGCAUCAUGCGGAGGGCCGAGCUUAGCAGCCAAGUGGAGGACAGCACCCUCCAUGCCUGGAUUCGUUACUCGCUCGUUCUCGAUGUUGAGCUGCUGGCAUAUUGCAGCACAACUAGAGAUGUACGGAUGCCCCCAUCUUGAUCUUACAGAAUCAGAGGUGCAGCCGCAAGAAAGGUCUCUACACCCUCUCGGUUUUCUCUGCUCUGCCAACACUAGUGGAAUAUGAUCACAUCCCAGGGAUCAGUGUCAUUUAGGGAUGUGACUAUGGGCUUCACUCAAGAGGAGUGGCAUCAUCUGGACCCUGCUCAGAGGACCCUGUAGAGGAAUGUGAUGCUGGAGAACUACAGCCACCUUGUCUCAGUAGGGUAUUGCAUUCCUAAACCAGAAGUGAUCCUCAAAUUGGAGACAGGCAAGGAGCCAUGGAUAUUAGAGGAAAAAUUUCGAAGCCAGAGUCAUCUGGAAUUAAUUAAUACCAGUAGAAACUAUUCAAGAAUGAAGUUCAAUGAGUUUAACAAAGGUGGAAAAUGUUUCUGUGAUGAAAGCAUGAAAUAAUUCAUUUUGAAGAGGAACCUUCUGAAUAUAAUAACAAUGGGAACAGCUUCUGGCUGAAUGAAGACCUCAUUUGGCAUCAGAAGAUUAAAAAUUGGGAGCAACCUUUUGAAUACAAUGAAUGUGGGAAAGCUUUCCCUGAGAAUUCACUCUUCCUUGUACAUAAGAGAGCUUACACAGGACAGAAAACAUGCAAAUAUACUGAACAUGGGAAAA